UUAACACAUGCAAGUCGAACGAUCCUUCGGGAUAGUGGCGGACGGGUGAGUAACGCGUGGGAAUCUGCCCUCAGGAGGGGGAUAACGGCUGGAAACGGCCGCUAAUACCCCAUAUGCCGAGAGGUGAAAUGAAUUUCGCCUGAGGAUGAGCCCGCGUCUGAUUAGCUAGUUGGUGGGGUAAAGGCCUACCAAGGCAACGAUCAGUAGCUGGUCUGAGAGGAUGAUCAGCCACACUGGGACUGAGACACGGCCCAGACUCCUAUGGGAGGCAGCAGUGGGGAAUUUUCCGCAAUGGGCGAAAGCCUGACGGAGCAACGCCGCGUGAGGGAUGAAGGCCUCUGGGCUGUAAACCUCUUUUCUCAAGGAAGAAGACCUGACGGUACUUGAGGAAUAAGCCACGGCUAAUUCCGUGCCAGCAGCCGCGGUAAUACGGGAGUGGCAAGCGUUAUCCGGAAUUAUUGGGCGUAAAGCGUCCGCAGGCGGCCUUGUAAGUCUGUUGUUAAAGCGUGGAGCUCAACUCCAUUUAAGCAAUGGAAACUACAAGGCUGGAGUGUGGUAGGGGCAGAGGGAAUUCCCGGUGUAGCGGUGAAAUGCGUAGAUAUCGGGAAGAACACCAGUGGCGAAGGCGCUCUGCUGGGCCAUAACUGACGCUCAUGGACGAAAGCCAGGGGAGCGAAAGGGAUUAGAUACCCCUGUAGUCCUGGCCGUAAACGAUGAACACUAGGUGUCGGGGGAAUCGACCCCCUCGGUGUCGUAGCCAACGCGUUAAGUGUUCCGCCUGGGGAGUACGCACGCAAGUGUGAAACUCAAAGGAAUUGACGGGGGCCCGCACAAACGGUGGAGUAUGUGGUUUAAUUCGAUGCAACGCGAAGAACCUUACCAGGGUUUGACAUCCUGCGAACCCCUGAGAAAUCGGGGGGUGCCUUCGGGAGCGCAGAGACAGGUGGUGCAUGGCUGUCGUCAGCUCGUGUCGUGAGAUGUUGGGUUAAGUCCCGCAACGAGCGCAACCCACGUCUUUAGUUGCCAGCAUUCAGUUGGGCACUCUAGAGAGACCGCCGGUGAUAAACCGGAGGAAGGUGUGGAUGACGUCAAGUCAUCAUGCCCCUUACAUCCUGGGCUACACACGUACUACAAUGCUACGGACAAAGGGCAGCAAGCUCGCGAGAGUUAGCAAAUCCCAUAAACCGUGGCUCAGUUCAGAUCGUAGGCUGCAACUCGCCUACGUGAAGGAGGAAUCGCUAGUAAUCGCAGGUCAGCAUACUGCGGUGAAUACGUUCCCGGGCCUUGUACACACCGCCCGUCACACCAUGGAAGUUGGCCAUGCCCGAAGUCGUUACUCCAACCCUUGUGAGGAGGACGCCGAAGGUGGGGCUGAUGACUGGGGUGAAGUCGUAACAAGGUA
Molecule: ribosomal RNA, 1402 nt
Filed under: metagenome
Description: bacterial SSU rRNA
Rfam family: Bacterial small subunit ribosomal RNA
Source: RNAcentral